UACGAGGGGGGCAAGCGUUGUCCGGAAUUAUUGGGCGUAAAGAGCUCGUAGGCGGUCUGUCGCGUCGGCUGUGAAAACCCGGGGCUCAAUCCCGGGCCUGCAGUCGAUACGGGCAGACUAGAGUGCGGUAGGGGAGACUGGAAUUCCUGGUGUAGCGGUGAAAUGCGCAGAUAUCAGGAGGAACACCGGUGGCGAAGGCGGGUCUCUGGGCCGUAACUGACGCUGAGGAGCGAAAGCGUGGGGAGCGAACAGG
This 253-nucleotide ribosomal RNA is filed under the name uncultured bacterium. RNAcentral's name for it is "partial 16S ribosomal RNA". It matches the Rfam family "Bacterial small subunit ribosomal RNA", at positions 524 to 776 of the family's 1533-position model. The record is from RNAcentral.